CCUGCAGUUCGGCAAAUAUAUAUUUUGAGACUAAGUCGAGUGAAUACUAGGAAAAUGAAAAAAUAUACGUCGGUGCAGUGUGGUCAUCCUACAGUCAAAUAUUACUUUUUUUCUAAUGUCUUUUUACUAAGCUUGCAUUAGUACGCGUACUAGGUGUGCACCUGGAUAAGUUACUAAGCUAAUUUAUCCUCCACGUGCCCUCUCCCUUUCUCUAAACUAAGCCUAUCUCUCUCUCUUCCCUGUACUAGUUAUGUACUAGUAGUCCUCAACCGAACAGAGCACCCACUAGUACUACUAGUCCAGCGAGAACACAAGUAAUAAUACAGACUGAUGCUCCUCUGCUCCUUGCCCAGAUCGGCGCCGCCGCCAGCGACGGGAAAGAUGCCGCUGCUAGAUCCUCCACACUCUCUCUCUCCCCUGACGUGAAUCCCCGUAUUAUCCCCAUGAAUUUCAGCCUCAACUCUCUAAUCCCCCUCUGUGUGUGUGUUCUUUUGGCUUGCAGGUCAAACCCUAUUGGGGAUGUGAUUUCCCUGCUCCAGAUUGAAGUGGUUGGCGUUGGGCGCCGCCGUGAUGCUGGAUGGUGCAGGUCAGAGCUCCAGUGCGUGUCCGUGGAGCAGAUCCACCAUGGGUGCAGGGGAAUGGAAAUGCUACUGAGAAGAAGAAGAGAGCUUGGUCUGGCUAUUUGGAAGCAGAGUGAAGAGUGUGCUACGGUGAAACCUUAGCCAGGUUACUCCUCCUCUCUUUCUAGUACCUAGCUAGUUAUGGCUGCCCAUCCCUGCUGUACAGUGUAGUCAUUUGUGGAGUCUCUCUAUUGGCUAGGAGUUGCAGCCCAUUCCUAGACCAACUGUUGGUCAAUUGACUACUGAUAUCUAUAAUGCACGUGAUGGUGGUGGUCAAUGUGUAUCCCAAAUAUGUCUCACUGUUUACUGCUUUGACCACGAGAUAUUUUUGGGUUGGUCUAAGUUUGGUGUACCCUUUGUUGUAUAGCUUAGCAUAGUCUGGUCUCUCUCUCUCUUUCUAUAUAUAUAUAUAUAUAUAUAUAUAUAUUCUCAAAGAUUUGUAAUACACCUGUACAGCUAUACUGUCUGAGGUUUAUGAAUAUAAAUAUAUAUAUACUUGAGUGGUUAUGAAUGCUUGUUGAA
Triticum urartu is the source of this 1142-nucleotide non-coding RNA. NCBI's taxonomy places the organism in Eukaryota, Viridiplantae, Streptophyta, Magnoliopsida, Poales, Poaceae. The record is from RefSeq and is a predicted model, not a curated record.